This 253-nucleotide ribosomal RNA is filed under the name uncultured bacterium. RNAcentral's name for it is "partial 16S ribosomal RNA". It matches the Rfam family "Bacterial small subunit ribosomal RNA", at positions 524 to 776 of the family's 1533-position model. The record is from RNAcentral.
UACGAAGGGGGCUAGCGUUGCUCGGAAUUACUGGGCGUAAAGGGCGCGUAGGCGGACAGUUUAGUCAGAGGUGAAAGCCCAGGGCUCAACCUUGGAACUGCCUUUGAUACUGAUUGUCUUGAGUUCGGGAGAGGUGAGUGGAAUGCCGAGUGUAGAGGUGAAAUUCGUAGAUAUUCGCAAGAACACCAGUGGCGAAGGCGGCUCACUGGCCCGGUACUGACGCUGAGGUGCGAAAGCGUGGGGAGCAAACAGG